This 499-nucleotide long non-coding RNA is filed under the name Dasypus novemcinctus (nine-banded armadillo). RNAcentral describes it as "lncRNA (ENSDNOG00000050781.1)". The record is from RNAcentral. Lineage: Eukaryota; Metazoa; Chordata; Mammalia; Cingulata; Dasypodidae.
GCUGCUAAGAGGAGGAGACACCAGCAGAAGCCCAAAGAAACAGGAAAAGAAGAGGCUCAGUGACCCUGGGUCCAGAUGUGUUUGAAGGCUCAGAUCAGCUGUGCUGACCAUGAUUGGAGAAAGAAUCGUCGGUCUGCUCUGGAGCUGGGGAAUCAAAAGCAUGCAGCGCCUCCCAACACAGCAAGUGCACUGCCUCCAGGGUUCCCAAUGAACCAAAAGCAGGAGGUCGAGGCCUGUGCACUCAAGGCUCUCAGGAGGGGAAGCCAGCCUUCCCCAUGUGAGGCUUCAUCCUCCCCUUGGAAGAGCCACAUUUCCUUAACUUGGGAAACCAGCUGUAGGCCCGCCAAACUAAUACCUCUGAAAGCCUCAUCCAGCUCUCCUCUAACUGGCUCCGUUUUCCUGGAUACCACCCAUGUUCCAAGGCAUGUCUCUGUAAAUAUUAAUUAGGUGUGGUCUAUGAAUGCCCCUGAUGGCUUCUUGGACUCCUGAAUAGCCUGGC